UACGUAGGGUGCGAGCGUUAAUCGGAAUUACUGGGCGUAAAGAGUGCGUAGGCGGAUGUUUAAGUUAGAUGUGAAAUACCCGGGCUUAACCUGGGAACAGCAUUUAAUACUGAAUGUCUAGAGUUUGUGAGAGGGUGGUAGAAUUCCAAGUGUAGCAGUGAAAUGCGUAGAGAUUUGGAGGAAUACCGAUGGCGAAGGCAGCCACCUGGCAUAAAACUGACGCUGAGGCACGAAAGCGUGGGUAGCAAACAGG
Molecule: ribosomal RNA, 253 nt
Filed under: uncultured bacterium
Lineage: Bacteria
Description: partial 16S ribosomal RNA
Rfam family: Bacterial small subunit ribosomal RNA
Source: RNAcentral